This 165-nucleotide microRNA precursor is filed under the name Medicago truncatula (barrel medic). Its description in RNAcentral is "MIR2619 microRNA precursor family". It matches the Rfam family "MIR2619 microRNA precursor family". Lineage: Eukaryota; Viridiplantae; Streptophyta; Magnoliopsida; Fabales; Fabaceae. The record is from Rfam by way of RNAcentral.
AAACAGCCCCCUAUGUUUUAAUUCUUUAGCAGUUUUGGUCCCCCCAAGACAAAUAAAAAAUUUGACACGUGGCACCUCACAUAGGGUGUCACGUCAGCGUUGACCGAGUCAACACUGGACUGAGGGUUCAAAACUGCCAAAGAAUCAAAACAUAGGGGGCUGUUU